RNAcentral lists this ribosomal RNA (253 nucleotides) under uncultured bacterium. Its description in RNAcentral is "partial 16S ribosomal RNA". It matches the Rfam family "Bacterial small subunit ribosomal RNA", at positions 524 to 776 of the family's 1533-position model. The record is from RNAcentral.
UACGUAGGGUGCAAGCGUUAAUCGGAAUUACUGGGCGUAAAGCGUGCGCAGGCGGUUAUGCAAGACAGAGGGGAAAUCCCCGGGCUCAACCUGGGAACUGCCUUUGUGACUGCAUGGCUAGAGUACGGUAGAGGGGGAUGGAAUUCCGCGUGUAGCAGUGAAAUGCGUAGAUAUGCGGAGGAACACCGAUGGCGAAGGCAAUCCCCUGGACCUGUACUGACGCUCAUGCACGAAAGCGUGGGGAGCAAACAGG